RNAcentral lists this ribosomal RNA (654 nucleotides) under uncultured archaeon. Its description in RNAcentral is "bacterial SSU rRNA". It matches the Rfam family "Archaeal small subunit ribosomal RNA", at positions 508 to 1160 of the family's 1478-position model. The record is from RNAcentral.
GCCUAAAGCGUCCGUAGCCUGUUCUAUAAGUUUCCGGUUAAAUCCACUAGCUCAACUAAUGGGCUGCCGAAAAUACUGUAGAACUAGGGAGUGGGAGAGGUAGACGGUAUUCGGUAGGAAGGGGUAAAAUCCUUUGAUCUAUCGAGGACCACCUGUGGCGAAGGCGGUCUACCAGAACACGUUCGACGGUGAGGGAUGAAAGCUGGGGGAGCAAACCGGAUUAGAUACCCGGGUAGUCCCAGCUGUAAACGAUGCAGACUCGGUGAUGCGCUGGCUUGUGGCCAGUGCAGUGCCGCAGGGAAGCCGUUAAGUUUGCCGCCUGGGAAGUACGUACGCAAGUAUGAAACUUAAAGGAAUUGGCGGGGGAGCACCACAAGGGGUGAAGCCUGCGGUUCAAUUGGAGUCAACGCCAGAAAUCUUACCUGGGGAGACAGCAGAAUGAAGGUCAAGCUGAAGACUUUACCAGACAAGCUGAGAGGUGGUGCAUGGCCGUCGUCAGCUCGUGCCGUGAGAUGUCCUGUUAAGUCAGGUAACGAGCGAGAUCCCUGCUGCUAGUUGCUACCAUUACUCUCCGGAGUAGUGGGGCGAAUUAGCGGGACCGCCGCAGUUAAUGUGGAGGAAGGAAGGGGCCACGGCAGGUCAGUAUGCCCCGAA